CCUACGGGAGGCAGCAGUGGGGAAUAUUGGACAAUGGGCGAAAGCCUGAUCCAGCAAUGCCGCGUGAGUGAUGAAGGCCUUAGGGUCGUAAAGCUCUUUUACCCGGGAUGAUAAUGACAGUACCGGGAGAAUAAGCCCCGGCUAACUCCGUGCCAGCAGCCGCGGUAAUACGGAGGGGGCUAGCGUUGUUCGGAAUUACUGGGCGUAAAGCGUGCGUAGGCGGUUAUUCAAGUCAGAGGUGAAAGCCCGGGGCUCAACCCCGGAACGGCCUUUGAAACUAGGUAGCUAGAAUCUUGGAGAGGUCAGUGGAAUUCCGAGUGUAGAGGUGAAAUUCGUAGAUAUUCGGAAGAACACCAGUGGCGAAGGCGACUGACUGGACAAGUAUUGACGCUGAGGCACGAAAGCGUGGGGAGCAAACAGGAUUAGAUACCCUGGUAGUCCACGCCGUAAACGAUGAUAACUAGCUGUUCGGGUACUUGGUAUCUGAGUGGCGCAGCUAACGCAUUAAGUUAUCCGCCUGGGGAUACGGUCGCAAGNUUAAAACUCAAAGAUAUCGGNGNGNGAGAGCGACGACGACGACGAGAGGAG
This 588-nucleotide ribosomal RNA is filed under the name uncultured bacterium. Its description in RNAcentral is "bacterial SSU rRNA". It matches the Rfam family "Bacterial small subunit ribosomal RNA", at positions 338 to 944 of the family's 1533-position model. The record is from RNAcentral.